This 384-nucleotide ribosomal RNA is filed under the name uncultured bacterium. RNAcentral's name for it is "bacterial SSU rRNA". It matches the Rfam family "Bacterial small subunit ribosomal RNA", at positions 29 to 414 of the family's 1533-position model. The record is from RNAcentral.
AUUGAACGCUGGCGGCAUGCCUUACACAUGCAAGUCGAACGGCAGCGCGGGAGCAAUCCUGGCGGCGAGUGGCGAACGGGUGAGUAAUAUAUCGGAACGUGCCCAGUAGUGGGGGAUAGCCCGGCGAAAGCCGGAUUAAUACCGCAUGAGACCUGAGGGUGAAAGCGGGGGAUCGCAAGACCUCGCGCUAUUGGAGCGGCCGAUAUCAGAUUAGCUAGUUGGUGGGGUAAAGGCCUACCAAGGCAACGAUCUGUAGUUGGUCUGAGAGGAUGAUCCGCCACACUGGGACUGAGACACGGCCCAGACUCCUACGGGAGGCAGCAGUGGGGAAUUUUGGACAAUGGGGGCAACCCUGAUCCAGCCAUGCCGCGUGAGUGAAGAAGG